CCUACGGGAGGCAGCAGUGGGGAAUAUUGCACAAUGGGGGAAACCCUGAUGUAGCGACGCCGCGUGAGUGAAGAAGUAAUUCGUUAUGUAAAGCCCUAUCAGCAGGGAAGAUAAUGACGGUACCUGAGUAAGAAGCCCCGGCUAACUACGUGCCAGCAGCCGCGGUAAUACGUAGGGGGCAAGCGUUAACCGGAUUUACUGGGUGUAAAGGGAGCGUAGACGGCAGUGCAAGUCCGGAGUGAAAGUUUGCGGCUCAACCGUAAAAUUGCAGUUGAAACUGGCAGUCUAGAGUACGGUAGAGGUAGGCGGAAUUCGUGGUGUAGCGGUGAAAUGCUUAGAGAUCACGAAGAACUCCGAUUGCGAAGGCAGCUCACUGGACUGCAACUGACACUGAUGCUCGAAAGUGUGGGUAUCAAACAGGAUUAGAGACCCGGGUAGUC
RNAcentral lists this ribosomal RNA (440 nucleotides) under uncultured bacterium. RNAcentral describes it as "partial 16S ribosomal RNA". It matches the Rfam family "Bacterial small subunit ribosomal RNA", at positions 338 to 795 of the family's 1533-position model. The record is from RNAcentral.